This 474-nucleotide ribosomal RNA is filed under the name uncultured bacterium. Its description in RNAcentral is "SSU rRNA". It matches the Rfam family "Bacterial small subunit ribosomal RNA", at positions 26 to 518 of the family's 1533-position model. The record is from RNAcentral.
AGGACGAACGCUGGCGGCGUGCUUAACACAUGCAAGUCGAGCGGAAAGGCCCUUCGGGGUACUCGAGCGGCGAACGGGUGAGUAACACGUGAGUAAUCUGCCCUUAGCUCUGGGAUAGCUCCGGGAAACCGGGAUUAAUACCAGAUACGACCACUUUAGACAUCUGCCGUGGUGGAAAGAAUUUCGGCUAAGGAUGAGCUCGCGGCCUAUCAGCUUGUUGGUGGGGUAACGGCCUACCAAGGCGACGACGGGUAGCCGGCCUGAGAGGGCGACCGGCCACACUGGGACUGAGACACGGCCCAGACUCCUACGGGAGGCAGCAGUGGGGAAUAUUGCGCAAUGGGCGAAAGCCUGACGCAGCGACGCCGCGUGGGGGAUGAAGGCCUUCGGGUUGUAAACCCCUUUCAGCAGGGACGAAGCGAAAGUGACGGUACCUGCAGAAGAAGCGCCGGCUAACUACGCGCCAGCAGCCGC